RNAcentral lists this ribosomal RNA (122 nucleotides) under uncultured bacterium. RNAcentral describes it as "partial 16S ribosomal RNA". It matches the Rfam family "Bacterial small subunit ribosomal RNA", at positions 1380 to 1501 of the family's 1533-position model. The record is from RNAcentral.
CUUGUACACACCGCCCGUCACACCAUGGGAGUGGGUUUCACCAGAAGUAGUUAGCCUAACCGCAAGGGGGGCGACUACCACGGUGAGAUUCAUGACUGGGGUGAAGUCGUAACAAGGUCCCC